CAGAUGACGAUUGUGGUAACCCUGGCCCAAGGCACAAGAAUAGUGAUGCGGGCGAUUUGGAUAUGGCAAAGAGAGGCGGUGAAGUUCCUUCCUCCUCUAAGUAGCCAGGUCUAAUUCUUGACUUAGGAAGGAAAGGAAAACAAAUCUUAUAUUGAACUUGCUGAAAUCUAAGUCGCAAUUAUGGCCACUGCAGAAGGGACCAGAGCAGACUUCUCUCCUUUACCUGAACUCUAUAAGGAAGGUACCCCCCAGCAGAGGUCCCCUGUGCCCGUCCGUCUCCUCAGGGAGUCCAGAAGAAUUUGGAAUUCGUGACCCUGGUGGGAUUUCCCUUUGCCCUGACUAACAUCUUCAUCACUUGGGGUAUUUGAGGACCAGCUUGCCUGCUGAUGGACCAGACCCAGUGGCCACAACCAGGACCCUUUGGUCCCUGGACUCCUCUUCAUGUGGACAACUGGCCAGAGUGCCCUGACUGGGUAAGGGACAAGGGAGCUUGUUAACCUAUUCCCUUUUCCUUCUUCUCUCAAGCUGGGCCUCUUUUCCUCCCUUUGAAACCUUUGAAGACACAAAAUAUUGCUGUUUAUCUGUUUAUUAGUACUCAUAUCUGAAAGUUCUGUGUUUCUAGAUUUUCUGAGAGACCACAAUCUUGAAUUCAAGAAAGUGUCUGAUUAGGAUGGCCAUGCCUGUGAUUUGUCUUUUAUGUUCUGUGAUUUCAUUUGUGAUGGCCAUUCUGCCUUGUGAAGGCAGGUUUGGUUCCACUGUAGAGCCCUCUUGGGCAAAUUCUGUCUGGGAAGAGGCUAAGACUAAGAAAAAGAUGGUAUUUUACUUUAACCCUUUAUGGCCACAAUAUUCUUUAGACUCC
Sus scrofa (pig) is the source of this 859-nucleotide non-coding RNA. NCBI's taxonomy places the organism in Eukaryota, Metazoa, Chordata, Mammalia, Artiodactyla, Suidae. The record is from RefSeq and is a predicted model, not a curated record.